This 468-nucleotide ribosomal RNA is filed under the name uncultured bacterium. RNAcentral describes it as "partial 16S ribosomal RNA". It matches the Rfam family "Bacterial small subunit ribosomal RNA", at positions 28 to 507 of the family's 1533-position model. The record is from RNAcentral.
GAUGAACGCUGGCGGCGUGCUUAACACAUGCAAGUCGAACGGUGAAGGCGGAGCUUGCUCUGCUGGAUCAGUGGCGAACGGGUGAGUAACACGUGAGCAAUCUGCCCCUGACUCUGGGAUAAGCGCUGGAAACGGCGUCUAAUACUGGAUACGAGCUGCGAAGGCAUCUUCAGCAGCUGGCAAGAAGGUCGGUCAGGGAUGAGCUCGCGGCCUAUCAGCUUGUUGGUGAGGUAAUGGCUCACCAAGGCCUCGACGGGUAGCCGGCCUGAGAGGGUGACCGGACACACUGGGACUGAGACACGGCACAGACUACUACGGGAGGCAACAGUGGGGAAUAGUGCACAAUGGGAGAAAGCCUGAUGCGGCAACGCCGCGUGGGGGACGACGGGAUUCGGGUUGUAAAGCUAAUUUAGCAGGGAAGGAGCGAAAGUGACGGUACCUGCAGAAAAAGCGCCGGCUAACUACGUG